AAUAGGGUAGCCUAGUGGACAUGGCAUCUGCCCGGUAAGCGGAACAGUGUGGGUUCGAUUCCCAUCCCUGGACACUUUUA
RNAcentral lists this transfer RNA (80 nucleotides) under Cordylochernes scorpioides. RNAcentral's name for it is "tRNA-Thr". The stretch from base 4 to 69 matches the Rfam family "tRNA". From Rfam's summary of the family: Transfer RNA (tRNA) molecules are approximately 80 nucleotides in length. The record is from RNAcentral. Lineage: Eukaryota; Metazoa; Arthropoda; Arachnida; Pseudoscorpiones; Chernetidae.